CAAAAACUCGUAUACACUAAACUAAGAACGAAAAUUUAUCCAUU
This 44-nucleotide transfer RNA is filed under the name Basella alba. RNAcentral describes it as "partial tRNA-His". The record is from RNAcentral. Lineage: Eukaryota; Viridiplantae; Streptophyta; Magnoliopsida; Caryophyllales; Basellaceae.